RNAcentral lists this ribosomal RNA (600 nucleotides) under Triticum aestivum (bread wheat). RNAcentral's name for it is "partial small subunit ribosomal RNA". Lineage: Eukaryota; Viridiplantae; Streptophyta; Magnoliopsida; Poales; Poaceae. The record is from RNAcentral.
AUGUAUCGUGCGCUCACACAUUCUGAGGUACCAGUGAGUAAUAACAAGAAAAUUUGGAAGUCCAAGGUUCCACUAAAACUGAAAUUUUUCAUGUGGUAUCUUCGUAGGGGGGUUGUGUUAACCAAAGACAAUCUCGCACGACGCAACUGGCAAGGGAGUAAGAAGUGUUGUUUCUGUACUCAUGACGAGACAAUCAAACACCUCCUUUUCCAAUGCAAGUUUGCGCGUUCUACGUGGUCAGUCAUCCAAAUAGCGUCAAAUUUGUAUCCGCCCACAACUGUUGCCAAUAUUUUUGGUCAUUGGCUGGACGAUAUUUCAAAUAGGUUCAAAACGCUAAUAAGGGUGGGAGCGUAUGCCUUAAUUUGGUUGCUUUGGCUAUGUAGAAAUGAUUUUGUUUUUAAUGGAAGAAAUGCUUCUCCUCCACAGGUUAUUUUCCGCUGUACGCACUUGCUAUGUAUGUGGUCUAUGUUACAACGACCGGAGGACCAACCGUUGUUCAAGGCGGUCUGUAUGCGAUUGGAGCAGGUGGCUAUGGAGGUUUUUUCCCAACAUGGGUGGCAACAUAACCUUCGGAUCGAUCCACCACCUCCAUCGACAUAG